This 464-nucleotide ribosomal RNA is filed under the name uncultured bacterium. Its description in RNAcentral is "bacterial SSU rRNA". It matches the Rfam family "Bacterial small subunit ribosomal RNA", at positions 329 to 792 of the family's 1533-position model. The record is from RNAcentral.
CGCCAGACUCCUACGGGAGGCAGCAGUGAGGAAUAUUGGUCAAUGGCCGAGAGGCUGAACCAGCCAAGUCGCGUGAGGGAAGGCGGCCCUACGGGUUGUAAACCUCUUUUGUCGGGGAGCAAAGCGAACCACGUGUGGUUCAUUGAGAGUACCCGAAGAAAAAGCAUCGGCUAACUCCGUGCCAGCAGCCGCGGUAAUACGGAGGAUGCGAGCGUUAUCCGGAUUUAUUGGGUUUAAAGGGUGCGCAGGCGGCCCGGCAAGCCGGGGGUCAAAUCGCGGGGCUCAACCCCGCCCAGCCGUCGGAACUGCCGGGCUAGAGUGGGCGAGAAGUGCGCGGAAUGCGUGGUGUAGCGGUGAAAUGCAUAGAUAUCACGCAGAACUCCGAUUGCGAAGGCAGCGCACCGGCGCCCUACUGACGCUCAGGCACGAAAGCGUGGGUAUCGAACAGGAUUAGAUACCCGUUA